CAUAUGGAGGUUACCAGAGUAGGGGUCGAAUCGGAGCUGUAGCCACUGACUACACUACAGCCACAGUAAUGCGGGACCCAAGCUGCAUCUGGGACCUACAUCACAGCUCCUGGCAAUGCUGGAUCCUUAAAUUCACUGGGCGAGGCCGGGGAUUGAACCUGUGUUCAUGGAUACUAGUCAGAUUCGUUUCUGCUGAGCCAUGACAGGAACUCCAAUUUUUUGCUUUUUUACCAAAAUUCUAGGUGAGGGUUUCUAACUGUUACUAUUUUGUUUUUAUAAUACUAUAAUAAAGAUUCUCCCAUGAAUAAAUUUCCAAACAAAAAACUUGCUAAGCCAUUUAGUUUGGAAAUGUUCCUUUGCACUAAGACACUAACCCUCACCAAACAUGUAUUUCCAAUAUUUUCUCCCAUUUGCCUGUCUCUGAACUAUAGCUCAAAUUGGCGCUACGAGGUAUUUUUGCUAUAGGCGUGUUCUGAGUAUUCAAGCAAAUAAUCUUCCUAUGGCUUAUAGCCCUAGUGUCACAUCAAGAAGCCCUUUCUGCAAACAACCCACCCAAAGGUUAUAAAAUAUUUCUUGUAAUAAUUUUCUAGUGCUUCUGCGUUUGAUUUUUACAGUUAAAUCUUUAAUCCACCCAGAAUCUCUAUGCGCUGUGGAACGUACAAUUUUCUACUUUAUUUUUCCCAAAAGACACACACUCAGUAACACCACCAGAUCCUUAGACUGCUGAGCCACCAGGGAACUCCCUUCGUAUAAACAUGUUUUUCCCUUUUUAAAAAAAGGGAAAGUUUUAGGUUUACCAUUCAUUUUUUAAAAUGGAAUGGGUCAAUUUGCCCAAGAACUCAAAAAAGUUAUUUCUAAAGUUAGUUUCUAUGAAGCAGUAGGUUAUUUACCAAAAAAGAAAGCCUGUUGCCAGACCCGAGGCUCUCAGGAUGAACCACUUUCCUUCGCCUUUUCUGACCAUUCAUUAUUUAACUCUCGUGCCUCAAAGCAGUGACUUCAAUAAUACCACUAAAGACAGAAUUUCACUGUAAAGCACCCUAAAGUCUACUUCAGCUAACCGUUCAGGACAAAGAGCUUAACUGCAGGAUGGAUUGUAUGUCCCUGGCCUCUCUCCCUCGGGGCACCUCUGAGAGGAUGAGGCCGCAGGAGAGGCAGGAGCAGCCACACAGGUGCACCUGGAGCUGGAGCCUUCCCACGCCCCUGCUCGCUCCCCCGGGAAUCACAGCAUCUCAGUCACAGGAAUAAUAAGUGAGAAAGACAAAGGGAUGGCAGUGAAAGGAACCUGUUUGUCUAACUGCAGCUACUCAUCAAGUGCCUGGCUCCUCCUUCCUGCCUCUUCCUGCAGGGGACCCGGGUCCCUCUGGCACUCUCCCCAAGGACAUGUCAAUUCUGCAACAGGCCAGGAUGUACACAGCUUCAGGGCUUACAUUCAGUUUAAAAGGGAAUGUGUACCUGAGCCUGCACCGACUUGUAAUGCUAUGUCAUUAUGUCUUAGAUUAAAAUCUUUUUUGUUUGAAAUGUAAUUCCUCCCCCUCCCAAUCAAAUCAGCUAAUCUCACCUUGUCUCUUUCACAUCUUGAAAUUCUGAGCUUAGCAGGCACUUUACGCAAACUGUCAAGCAUGGAAGGGUAGCUCAAACGACAGGAGGGAUCGUUGGCUGACAGCUAACUCCUUCAACCCAUUUUUCAAAUAGAAAACACAUUAAAUUUGACGUUAAUUCAAACGCUAUUUAACCUCACGAGGCUUACUGCAGAUUGGUCACAGGUGCCACGCCCCAGCCUCUCAACUGGAGGAAGAAGCACACUGACCAGGACAUGCUGUGAAAUCCUGAGCCCAGCCAAGGCGAAGGCCCCUCCAAAGAGCUGGCACCAGCUGUGAGACAGGCCUGGGGGUACAGAGUCAGACAGGAGCCUGCCUACCAGCCUUUCUUAAGGGGUUUAGCCUUCUGUUCCUGCCUCAAUUUCCCCUACCAGCUCCCACCAUUUCUAUCAACAUCAAUUGUGCUCGCUUCUCUGUGUGGGGUCCAGGGACCAGCAACACCAGAGGCGCCUGGGAGCUUGUUAGGAAAGCUCACUCAGCCCCACUGACUGAAUUAGGAGCUGUAGCUAACAAGAUCCCAGGGGACCCAUCACAGAGUCAAGUUCUGAGAUGCACCCAAAAUAACACAUGGCUUAGGCUCUACCUAUUUAAAAACAGAACUCUCUGCUGUUCCCAUGUCACCCACCAACUACGAAGCCCCUUCCCUGCCUCGCCCUGCAGAGCACACCUUCUCGAAGCCACAUCCCCCCAGUCUCCCCUCCUCAGCUCCCAGCUUCCAACUCACUGCAAUCUGGCCUUCCCUGCCAACCACCUAGUCCCGAGUUCCCACAUCCAAAGGACCCCUUUCAUCUAACCUCCAAAGCACUCUGCACGGCAAUACCCCAGCAUCCUCCGCGUGCAGGGGACGGCAUCCACUCACAAGAACUCAAACUCCACCUACAGCUUUCUGACCCAACCCCAGGCCGACGUGCUCAUGGUUUUCCACAUCCACUCUGAACCUCAAACACUCCAAGCGUAGUUCUUGUCCCCACUGGACAGCCAGCAACCUGCACCACCCAUGAGGUUUCAUCACAGUGCCUGAGGUCACCAGCCCUAAGUCUGCAAAGCAAGCCCUGAAAAAUCACCCAAGACACCUUCCUUUGCUGUGUCCGUUGGCGCCGUGGCUGGCUCUGCCCCCGGAGCAGAUGUGAGCCUCGUGAGCCUAGCCUAGCCGUGUCCUUCCAUGUUCUCGGCCCCCACCCUUGGCCAAGCCACUUUACUGCUCAUCAACGAUCUCCUAUGAAUGAUGUUUGUCUCUAUUUGCCCAACAACCCGUUCUUCAUUCAGCAAGCUGAAUAAUCUUGAAAACCUCACAUCCUGUCACAUCCUGCUUAAAACUGCUCAAAGGGCGAGUUCCCAUCGUGGCUCAGUGGAAAUGAAUCUGACUAGUAUCCAUGAGGAUGCAGGUUCCAUCCCUGGCCUCACUCAGUGGGUUAAGGAUCCAGCAGUGCCACAAGCUGUGGUGUAGGUCACAGAGGUGGCUCGGAUCUGGUAUUGCUGUGGCUGUGCCAUAGGCCAGCAGCUGGAGUUCCGAUUCGACAACUAACUACAGUUAUCUCUGGACAAGCAACCGUGGAGAGCAACAGCGAGAGCAAAAGCGAAAGCACGUGGCUGCGCCUCUAGGAGGUUGGUGCUUCCAUAAGGGAAGGAAGGAGUCACUGCUUUGGGGGCACUUUCUGUCGUCUUCUCAAGAUCUGGGUUGAUACGCAUGUCCUCUGCCUCCUCCUCAGGCCCCAAGGCACGGUUAGUGGGAUGGACUGGCAGGAGUCUCUCCCUAGUCCCAUGAAAAUAACCCUCAAGGAUGUCACGGUCCUGUUGCCACAAAAGAAACCAGACAGCUGCAAAGAAGAGAAACUGC
This 3435-nucleotide long non-coding RNA is filed under the name Sus scrofa (pig). Its description in RNAcentral is "lncRNA (ENSSSCG00065077626.1)". The record is from RNAcentral. Lineage: Eukaryota; Metazoa; Chordata; Mammalia; Artiodactyla; Suidae.